Molecule: ribosomal RNA, 393 nt
Filed under: uncultured bacterium
Lineage: Bacteria
Description: bacterial SSU rRNA
Rfam family: Bacterial small subunit ribosomal RNA
Source: RNAcentral
CGGUAACAGGAAACAGCUUGCUGUUUCGCUGACGAGUGGCGGACGGGUGAGUAAUGUCUGGGAAACUGCCUGAUGGAGGGGGAUAACUACUGGAAACGGUAGCUAAUACCGCAUAACGUCGCAAGACCAAAGAGGGGGACCUUCGGGCCUCUUGCCAUCGGAUGUGCCCAGAUGGGAUUAGCUAGUAGGUGGGGUAACGGCUCACCUAGGCGACGAUCCCUAGCUGGUCUGAGAGGAUGACCAGCCACACUGGAACUGAGACACGGUCCAGACUCCUACGGGAGGCAGCAGUGGGGAAUAUUGCACAAUGGGCGCAAGCCUGAUGCAGCCAUGCCGCGUGUAUGAAGAAGGCCUUCGGGUUGUAAAGUACUUUCAGCGGGGAGGAAGGGAGUA